CCCCAAAUUCCCUAGGGCCAGAUCACUGGUUAGGAACGCCCACCCCAUGUGUCCUCAGACCUACUGCUGCACGUUUCAGCCCAGAGAGUGCCGCUGAUGACGAAGAAGGUGUUCAUUAGCUCCCAGACCACAAGAUCAGAAAUAAACACUGGUCUCAUGGCUCACACCUGUAAUCCCAGCACUUUGGGAGGCUGAGGCAGUGCCUGGCAUAUAAGAAGCAUUGCGUAAGCAUCAGGACUGGCCUUCCUGCUGUCGUGGGUAGAGCACAGCUCAUCGAGUCUCCAGCUCAACUGUCCUGGGGCUGUGCGGGGUCCUCCCAGCUCCAAGCAGCCUCCAAUCGUACCAGAGUCCAGAAGACACACUGGAGAAGCCAAGGGCAGCUUGGCAAGGGUACCAGCCACUUGAGAGCUGAGUGCAAUACCGGAAGAUU
RNAcentral lists this long non-coding RNA (430 nucleotides) under Callithrix jacchus (white-tufted-ear marmoset). Its description in RNAcentral is "lncRNA (ENSCJAG00000079508.1)". The record is from RNAcentral. Lineage: Eukaryota; Metazoa; Chordata; Mammalia; Primates; Cebidae.